Molecule: long non-coding RNA, 399 nt
Filed under: Ursus maritimus (polar bear)
Lineage: Eukaryota; Metazoa; Chordata; Mammalia; Carnivora; Ursidae
Description: lncRNA (ENSUMAG00000021696.1)
Source: RNAcentral
CGAGGACGCUCAUUUUGACCCGCAGGCAUUCGCGCCUCGGAGGAGCGCUCAUUAUGCAUGCGUGCGAUCAUUUAAGAUUCAGGCCUGCUUUGAGACUCGCGUAUCUGCCAGCACCGGGGCAUUUCUGCACACACUUCCUGUGCAUUCCCCGCACGAAGGAGUCAAGCCCGCGUUCCCGCACUGGCUGAGAGCUGUCUGCUGGCGCCCGUACCAGACAGUGCUGGACUCUUGGCUGAUCAGCAAAACAUCGGGAAGCAAGAGAUCAGAGCUGAUCCAAUGAAACGAGGCAGCACCCCGGGAAAACUCCAACGAUGCCAAAGAGAAGGUAGGCAAAGAAGGACAGCUCUGAUCUGCAGGGAUUCAGAGGAGGGCAUCCCAGGUAAGGGGCAACACGUGAGC